GAUGAACGCUGGCGGCGUGCUUAACACAUGCAAGUCGAACGGUGAAGCUCCAGCUUGCUGGAGUGGAUCAGUGGCGAACGGGUGAGUAACACGUGAGCAACCUGCCCCUGACUCUGGGAUAACAGCCGGAAACGGCUGCUAAUACCGGAUAUGCACCAUGAACGCAUGUUCUGUGGUGGGAAAGAUUUUUCGGUUGGGGAUGGGCUCGCGGCCUAUCAGCUUGUUGGCGAGGUAAUGGCUCACCAAGGCGUCGACGGGUAGCCGGCCUGAGAGGGUGACCGGCCACACUGGGACUGAGACACGGCCCAGACUCCUACGGGAGGCAGCAGUGGGGAAUAUUGCACAAUGGGCGAAAGCCUGAUGCAGCAACGCCGCGUGAGGGAUGACGGCCUUCGGGUUGUAAACCUCUUUUAGCAGGGAAGAAGCGAGAGUGACGGUACCUGCAGAAAAAGCGCCGGCUAACUACGUG
Molecule: ribosomal RNA, 469 nt
Filed under: uncultured bacterium
Lineage: Bacteria
Description: partial 16S ribosomal RNA
Rfam family: Bacterial small subunit ribosomal RNA
Source: RNAcentral